ACCAGAUCUUGAUCUGGCGCUCGGACAGGCAGAGUGCGUGGGCGAUCUCGAUGCGCCGUCGCCGGGUCAGGUUGCUUGUCUGGAGAUGGAGCCACUACAGGCGGGCCUGGGCGCCUGGAGUCGGGCAUGAAAGAAAAUAGCGCCUCAUCGCUCUUAUCUAAGCCCAGAGGUAGACUUCGCUUGAAAAGAUCGAGAAUGGAGGAGGGGAUCGGCACUCACUUGCAGACAUCAACAGUUUCCAGAAAAUUCGGUUCAAUUCCUUCACCACGGACCCACCAACCAAGGAGCUGGCAAAACCCACUAACCAACCAGGAGAACACAGACCCGGUUUGUCUUUUGACAACCGAGUGGAACUGACGGGGCCGGCGCCUGCCCUGCGGGUCCCCUCCCUUGGCUGAGAAGAAAACCAAAUAAACCUUGAACAGCCUUGGCUUCGGAUGUCUCAAGCGGCCUCAUCCUCUCCCGCGCCUUGGUGGGGUGGGGGUGGGGAUGGCGGUGGGGGUGUCGGCUCUGAUCCCUCCACCCUUUGAUUCAGGGCCCCUGCCCGCUGGAAGCAGAAUUAGACCUUUUUAUAUAUGCCCUAGAGGAAGCCGCUUCCCUUGCCAGCCGCCAGGUUUGGGGCUAGGAUGGGCGGGGACGGGGGCAGUGGGAAAUUGGGGAUGAUGGGUGGAGGAGAGACUUCUGUUCUCUAACUCACACCGGGGAACCAAGAUCUAGCUGAGAGCGUCGGUGUGGGCCCGAAAUCCCCCGAAUCCCGUGGACCCUGCGAGGCCGGGGCUCCAGGCGUCGGGCACCUCUGGACAGUGUCGCGGGGCUUGCGGCGCCGAAGCCGCGUGUCUCCGAACGGACGGUAGAUGGCAGCAGACCGCAUAAUUUGGGUCACAGCGAACUGUCUAAGGGAGGAUUUAUAACCCUCCAAGACUACAGGAGAAAAAGACCUUUAGUAUGGGUGGGUUUGGGAAAUUUUUCCCUUGAGAAUAGUCCCCGAGUGCCGUGGGUGCUGGCGGAGAACUCUAGCUACGAAGCCCAGCGGUCCCUCCAGGCGCCCAGGCCGGGCCUGAACCUAGGGCAUCUACCUGGGGCCACAGAGCCGCCUCUUCCGCGCCACAAGUGGCAGCGUCGUCCCUCUCCUAGCUUAGGACUGAGAUAAUAAAUAUAUCCCCACUUCCAAAACGCCCCAGACCCUGUAACUCCGGGGCAACCAGAGGCCCGAGGCUGAAUGUCCUGCAUCUGGUCUUAAGAAAGAGAAAAGCAAUCACAUGUUCGUGCAAACCAGACUAAAAAUCACAAUUUCUCCUGCCCUCCACAGCCAACAUCACUUAUCUCUUGGCUGGAAGCUUCCCCAGAAGCUCCCUUACCCCAUUUUUAAGUCCUUGCCUCAAGGCUGGCACCUACUUCCACCCCACGAGCUACUUUAGGAAUCUCUGUCACCUGCCCAAUGUUCUCCGCCCUCCCCACCCCCUAGAAGGCCUGACUGAGGGAUAAAAUUGGACACCCGAGGGACGGGACUGUCUGAGCUCAGUGCCAGUUAGCUUUUCAGUUUAGACGCCGCUAGGUCCCAUAAUUGGAUUUUCUUUUUAUUUUCUUCUUUCAUUUCUUUCUCUUUUAUUUUUAUUUACAAGCCUAAAACAAAAAGGCACUUAACAGCUUCUUCACAAUCACCAUGUCUGGACCCAGGAAAGUUUGAAAUGUUAUCAUAUCAGACACACACAUGGCAAUUUUUUCCUCCACCGAAAUCCACACAUCCCAUACCAAUACAACGCAAGUAAUAGAAUCAGUAUCACGCAGAAACCAACAGCUGUAACCUACCGCAUUAAAACCACAAAACUGUCUCCCUGUAGAGCGAGGCUCCCUCCUGCGGGAGUGGCGAGAUACUUGGGCAUUCUCGGGCAGGCUUCCUGCCGUUUCCUCUCCCUCGCCGGCCUCGGCGGAGAUUCCAGGCCCUAUAGAAACCAGGACGUCCCUUAGCGCCACCGCCUCACAUGCCAGUGCUGCCGGGAACCCAGCGAUAUCCGCACCAGCGGAGAAGGUUCCAGGCUGCCGGCGGCGGCGCAGAGAGCGGGAAGAGAGGCUCGGAGGAAGCCCCGGGCGUGGCGUGGUCAGGCUCCGAGAGCGGCCGGGAUGCGGCCACACCGGCCUGGUAAACUCGCACCUCUUAGGAUCUUGCUCCCGGACUCAUUCCCUUCCCCACCCCCUAUUUUAAAGUUUUAUUUGGGUCGUCUGUAUCAAUUUAGAACGAGAUAAAUUAAGACAAAGAAAGUAAAAUAAAUCGAAAUAAAAUAUAGGAAUAGCUCUUGGCGAAAAUGUUUGCCGUGCGAGCAGGAAGCCGUGAGCGCCCUAGUUGGAGGCUGCUCUGCGCCGACUAAGAGGCCUCUACUCCCAGGCCUGGCCUCUACGCAACGCCACCCAAGAAGCCAGAGUGAAUUUGGGUGUUCAUUUUCCCUUUCCUUCCGCUCUUCCUUCAUGUGGGGCCUAGCAGCUUGGAUUUCAGCUCCGUCUUUGUGCCUGGGCUGCAGCCCAGAUCCAGAUCCCGCAGCUUGGUUUCCAGGCCUGAAUGAGGACGCGGGUUUGUGAAACUGUGAGGUUUUUGUUUUGUUGUUUUGUGAGCUUGUGUGACUAAGCAUGUGGGCUUCUGAGUGCGUUUACUUGGGGGCAAAUGUGAAUCUGUGUUUAUAAGCCAAUGUGUGAAUGUACGUUGGUAUCAAUGUGUCUGUGAGUGUGAAUGUGUGUUUACUUGUGAGCGUGUGUGAACAUGAAUGCCUA
Molecule: long non-coding RNA, 2763 nt
Filed under: Homo sapiens (human)
Lineage: Eukaryota; Metazoa; Chordata; Mammalia; Primates; Hominidae
Description: HSALNT0241971
Source: RNAcentral